UACAGAGGGGGCAAGCGUUGUUCGGAAUUACUGGGCGUAAAGGGCGCGUAGGCGGCCUGCUAAGUCGAACGUGAAAUCCCUGGGCUCAACCCAGGAACUGCGUCCGAUACUGGUUGGCUUGAAUCCGGGAGAGGGAUGUGGAAUUCCAGGUGUAGCGGUGAAAUGCGUAAAUAUCUGGAGGAACACCGGUGGCGAAGGCGACAUCCUGGACCGGUAUUGACGCUGAGGCGCGAAAGCCAGGGGAGCAAACGGG
This 253-nucleotide ribosomal RNA is filed under the name uncultured bacterium. RNAcentral's name for it is "partial 16S ribosomal RNA". It matches the Rfam family "Bacterial small subunit ribosomal RNA", at positions 524 to 776 of the family's 1533-position model. The record is from RNAcentral.